GUGACAGCCGCCGCGGUAAUACAGAGGCCCCAAGCGUUACUGAGAAUCACUGGGUUUAAAGGGUGCGUAGGUGGUCCGUUAAGUCCGUUGUGAAAGCCCUUGGCUCAACCAAGGAACCGCUUCGGAUACUGGCGGACUUGAGGCUAGUAGGGGUCACUGGAACUGACGGUGGAGCGGUGAAAUGCGUAGAUAUCGUCAGGAACGCCGAUGGUGAAGACAGGUGACUGGGCUAGUUCUGACACUGAGGCACGAAAGCGUGGGGAGCGAACGGGAUUAGAAACCCUAGUAGUCC
RNAcentral lists this ribosomal RNA (292 nucleotides) under uncultured bacterium. RNAcentral's name for it is "partial 16S ribosomal RNA". It matches the Rfam family "Bacterial small subunit ribosomal RNA", at positions 505 to 796 of the family's 1533-position model. The record is from RNAcentral.